RNAcentral lists this ribosomal RNA (202 nucleotides) under uncultured bacterium. RNAcentral describes it as "partial 16S ribosomal RNA". It matches the Rfam family "Bacterial small subunit ribosomal RNA", at positions 524 to 725 of the family's 1533-position model. The record is from RNAcentral.
UACGGAGGGUGCAAGCGUUGUUCGGAUUUACUGGGCGUAAAGCGCGCGCAGGUGGAUGAACAAGUCGGAAGUGAAAUCUUGAGGCUCAACCUCGAGGCUGCUCCCGAAACUGUUCGUCUAGGGACUGGUAGAGGCUGGUAGAAUUCCCGGUGUAGCGGUGGAAUGCGUAGAGAUCGGGAAGAAUACCCGUGGCGAAGGCGGC